This 22-nucleotide ribosomal RNA is filed under the name Bowenia serrulata. RNAcentral's name for it is "partial 26S rRNA". RNAcentral also lists the same sequence under 4 other names. Lineage: Eukaryota; Viridiplantae; Streptophyta; Cycadopsida; Cycadales; Cycadaceae. The record is from RNAcentral.
CGACCCCAGGUCAGGCGAGAGC